GAUGAACGCUGGCGGCGUGCCUAAUACAUGCAAGUCGAGCGAACAGACGAGGAGCUUGCUCCUCUGACGUUAGCGGCGGACGGGUGAGUAACACGUGGAUAACCUACCUAUAAGACUGGGAUAACUUCGGGAAACCGGAGCUAAUACCGGAUAAUAUAUUUAACCGCAUGGUUCAAUAGUGAAAGACGGUUUUGCUGUCACUUAUAGAUGGAUCCGCGCCGCAUUAGCUAGUUGGUAAGGUAACGGCUUACCAAGGCAACGAUGCGUAGCCGACCUGAGAGGGUGAUCGGCCACACUGGAACUGAGACACGGUCCAGACUCCUACGGGAGGCAGCAGUAGGGAAUCUUCCGCAAUGGGCGAAAGCCUGACGGAGCAACGCCGCGUGAGUGAUGAAGGUCUUCGAAUCGUAAAACUCUGUUAUUAGGGAAGAACAAAUGUGUAAGUAACUAUGCACGUCUUGACGGUACCUAAUCAGAAAGCCACGGCUAACUACGUG
RNAcentral lists this ribosomal RNA (497 nucleotides) under uncultured bacterium. RNAcentral's name for it is "partial 16S ribosomal RNA". It matches the Rfam family "Bacterial small subunit ribosomal RNA", at positions 28 to 507 of the family's 1533-position model. The record is from RNAcentral.